Molecule: long non-coding RNA, 600 nt
Organism: Aphidius gifuensis
Lineage: Eukaryota; Metazoa; Arthropoda; Insecta; Hymenoptera; Braconidae
Exons: 5
Source: RefSeq, a predicted model, not a curated record
UUCCGUGAUCUCAAGGCGUGAAAAAGAAUUUUAUUUUACCACGAUGAUACCGUUAACAAAUAAAGAGAUAAAAACCCUUAAACGUCAGAAGGCUUUUUGCUGCUGCUUCACUUGGAAUGUUGCUGCUAUAUGUAUCGCACUUCAUGGCGUUAUUUCAAGUGCGUUGUUACCAUUAACGGUACGAGGUCAAAUUGGUGGUCAAUAUGGUGUGUUAAUGACGAUAGACAUAGAAGGUAAAGACGGGCCCGUGGAAAUCUUUUUGGAAAACGUGCCCUUUGGACUUGAGAUGUUUGUGAUAAGCCUGCUCUUUAUUGGGCAUUUGAUAGGUUUUUAUAAUGUACUUAAGAAAUCGGCUAAAGGCAUGGGUUGUUAUGUAAUAUUCCGUUUCUUGGAGAUGAGCGUAUGUUUUGUUUGGUCUAUAAAUAUAUAUAAGGGAAAGAUACAGUCUCAUACUAUGUCACAGAUUUCAUUGGGAUGGUAUUGCUCCAUUUCUUUAGCUAUCCAAUAUGCCGCUGUAUUGGUAUUAUUGUUUGGACGUGAUAUGUCUUUCAAGACGGCCUAAGCAAUCAUCGUUCACAAUAAAAAACAUUUAAACGCAAC